This is an RNA transcript of Vespula vulgaris, 3446 nucleotides long. It is a transcript of the gene named calpain-A-like, with no coding region annotated. The record is from RefSeq and is a predicted model, not a curated record. The transcript is spliced from 16 exons. Lineage: Eukaryota; Metazoa; Arthropoda; Insecta; Hymenoptera; Vespidae.
AAGGAAAAAUCACUGACAUUGAAAAUAAUUGGACGUUCACUUUACGAAGGACAUACCAUAUAAAGAAAUAACAUAGUGUUUUGGAAACACUAUAAAAGGAUUUUACAAACGUUAAGAAAUAAAAGUUGAACACAUUUGAACAUAUAAGCCGAGUCAUCCUUAUAAUGAUUCAAAGGUGCCUGAAGUUAGAAACGAGAUAGUCGUACAUUUAACGUUUUUUACAAUAAGUGGGGAUAAAGAGAUUAUCCUUCUAGAAAGAGGAAAAACCAAACCAUUGAGUUUUUCUUACGUGCUGUUUUCGAAAAGUUUCUUUUUAACUGUCAAAAAAAAAAACAACGGUGACAUAAUUAUCAUCGAUCUAUCUGUUUUACGUAGAACAAAGACAUCAUGUUUCUUUAUUCGCGGUUUCAAUUCCUGUUAUAGGAGUAUUCUUGUGUGUGGCUUGUGCGGUAGUGCUUAUAAAAAAGUGUGUCGACCUUACUUUAGUAUCAUUCGAGAUAAGCGUCGCGAGGCGGCGCUUUCUGACGUAUCGGUAUUGACAUCGUCACGAUCGAGAGAAAGAGAGAUCUCCGGUAACAUAACAUUUGACAUUGUGCAACGAAAAUACAAACAAUAGAAGAUCUAAGAAUUCGGGUUUAAUCACUUUGAAAAAUUUUGUUUAGUGCUCGAGAAGAAAUUAAAUAAAUUUGACACACGCCUCGGUGUCUAGGUGUGAAAGGCCAUUUAUUGAUUAUUAUAAUUCAAGGUUGUGACAAGAUAAAAUUGAAAGUCAUGUAUAACAAUUACGGAAAAAGUUCUUUCAAUUACGGAUGGAAAGCAGAAGUAAUGGAGCCAGAGUUAAUACGACAACAAGUGAAAGAAAAUGAACUCGGAGAAAAAGGUUCAGGUAUCAGAGCACGGGGUGAGAUUCAAGAUUUUAAUGCGUUAAGAUUGGAAUGUCUUCAAACCGGACGACUCUUUGAGGAUCCAGAAUUUCUAGCGGCCGAUUCAUCUCUGUACUUUUCUAAAAGGCCGGAUAGGUACAUAGAAUGGAGGAGACCGAUGGAAAUCGCGGACGACCCACAACUUUUCGUCGAAGGUUUUUCAAGAUUCGACGUUCAACAAGGCGAAUUAGGCGAUUGUUGGUUACUCGCAGCAGUUGCAAAUCUCACGAUGGAUUCGAAUUUGUUCUUCCAAGUUGUACCGGAAGAUCAAAGCUUUCAAGAAAAUUACGCUGGAAUUUUUCACUUCAGAUUUUGGCAAUAUGGUAGAUGGGUGGAUGUUGUUAUCGAUGAUCGUCUACCUACCUAUAACGGUGAAUUGAUAUAUAUGCAUUCCGCCGAAAGCAACGAAUUUUGGAGUGCUCUUUUGGAGAAAGCUUAUGCUAAACUUCAUGGAUCCUACGAAGCUUUGAAAGGAGGUACAACGUGCGAAGCGAUGGAAGAUUUUACAGGUGGUGUUACCGAGAUGUAUCAGAUGGAGGAAGCUCCACCGAAUUUAUUCAGUGUUCUUUUAAAGGCAUUCGAAAGAAAUUCUCUUAUGGGUUGUUCCAUCGAGCCUGAUCCAAACGUAUUGGAAGCGGAAACGCCUCAAGGACUGAUCAGAGGUCAUGCCUACAGUAUUACUCGUGUCAAGUAUGUAGAAAUUCAGACGCCAAAUCAAUAUGGUAGAAUACCAUUGCUCAGAUUACGAAAUCCAUGGGGUAAUGAAGCAGAAUGGAAUGGUCCGUGGAGCGAUAAGUCACCGGAAUGGAGAUUUAUUCCUGAUCAUGAGAAAGAAGAAUUAGGAUUAACUUUCGACAUAGAUGGCGAAUUUUGGAUGUCUUUCCAAGAUUUUACACAAUACUUUACGCAACUUGAGAUUUGUAACUUGAAUCCAGAUUCUUUGACGGAAGGUGAUAUUAAUGCUGGGAAGAAACGAUGGGAAAUGAGCGUUUUUGAAGGAGAGUGGGUACGUGGAGUUACAGCCGGUGGUUGCAGAAAUUAUUUAGAAACGUUUUGCCACAAUCCUCAAUAUCGAAUAACAUUGGAGUAUCCUGACGAGGAUGAUGAUAAAUGUACGGUUAUAGUUGCAUUGAUGCAAAAGAAUAGACGAGCCCAACGACGGAUGGGUGCAGACUGUCUUACUAUUGGAUUUGCUGUAUACUAUUUGGAACAUCCUGAAAGAUUACCAAAACCAUUGGAUAUGAAUUUCUUCAAAUAUAAUGCAUCCGUAGCACGAUCACCGGCUUUCAUUAAUUUGCGUGAAGUUACAUGCCGAUUCAAAUUGCCACCGGGAGUUUAUUGUAUAGUUCCGAGCACUUUCGAUCCUAACGAAGAAGGUGAAUUUUUACUGAGGAUAUUCUCAGAGAACAAGAAUAAUAUGGAAGAAAAUGAUGAGGAAGUCGGAGUUGGAGAAGUUGAUGAUAGGGUGAUUAAUCCCAAAGGCACUAACACGGAUGCGGAUGAUGAAAAAGUCCGUGAAGAACCUGAACCUGAUCGAAAUAUCGAAAAAGUACGAGAAUUCUUUAGAAAGCUCGCUGGUGAUGAUAUGGAAGUGGAUUGGAUGGAACUUAAAGAAAUCUUGGAUUUUGCAAUGAGAAAAGAGUUACCACAGUCGACGCGUCGUAGCGAGGCACAUGAACCUGAAUCAGUGCAAGAAGAUGGUUCUUUUAUCGACACUGUCAUCUCACUGCUGUGCGGCAUUGUUUGUAAUAAUGAACAAUACAAUAAAUCUGUAGAUAUGCAAGAUAGAGGAUUUACUAAGGAUGUAUGUCGGAGUAUGGUAGCUAUGUUAGAUGUAGAUCAUUCUGGGAAGCUUGGAUUUGAAGAAUUCAGAACCUUGUGGAAUGACAUUAGGAAAUGGAGGGCUGUUUUCAAAUUAUAUGAUAAAGAUGAGUCCGGAUAUUUAAAUGCGUUUGAAUUACGACAAGCUUUGAAUAGUGCAGGAUACAGACUGAAUAACCACAUUUUAAAUAUUUUGGUACAUCGCUAUGGAACUAAGGAUGGGAAGAUAAUGUUUGAUGAUUAUAUAAUGUGUGCCGUACGAUUAAAAACAAUGAUCGAUAUGUUCAGAGAGAGAGAUCCUGAUCAAACUAAUUCAGCUACAUUCACAAUGGAAGAAUGGAUAGAGAAAACAUUAUAUUCUUAAAAUAUUGUGCCUUAUUGUAAAUGCAUUUUUUCAGAUAUUACCUUAUAAAGGCAAUGCAGUUUUUCUGAUUGAGAUGCCAAUAUAAAAGCUCAUAUAUUUUCAAAGCCAAAGGAUUAGCAAAAUUCAAAUUUUUACUCGUUGACAGUGCUGCUCUUCUGCAUACCUGAAUUUAUAAUUCUUUAGACACAGGAAUACAUUCUAAUAGAAUUAUAUUAAAUAACUAUAUCGUUAAUGAAUAAAAAUUUUUUUUUAAGAUUUGAAAUGCUCUAGUUUGUUAUAUAAUUAAAUUUUUAAGAAACGCUAUUUAAAGUGAAAUAAAAUAAAUUUAUAAAAAAUAA